This 425-nucleotide ribosomal RNA is filed under the name uncultured bacterium. RNAcentral's name for it is "partial 16S ribosomal RNA". It matches the Rfam family "Bacterial small subunit ribosomal RNA", at positions 354 to 796 of the family's 1533-position model. The record is from RNAcentral.
GUGGGGAAUCUUAGACAAUGGGGGCAACCCUGAUCUAGCCAUGCCGCGUGAGUGAUGAAGGCCUUAGGGUCGUAAAGCUCUUUCGCUGGGGAAGAUAAUGACGGUACCCAGUAAAGAAACCCCGGCUAACUCCGUGCCAGCAGCCGCGGUAAUACGGAGGGGGUUAGCGUUGUUCGGAAUUACUGGGCGUAAAGCGCGCGUAGGCGGAUUGGGAAGUUGGGGGUGAAAUCCCGGGGCUCAACCCUGGAAUGGCCUUCAAAACUCCCAGUCUUGAGGUCGAGAGAGGUGAGUGGAAUUCCGAGUGUAGAGGUGAAAUUCGUAGAUAUUCGGAGGAACACCAGUGGCGAAGGCAGCUCACUGGCUCGAUACUGACGCUGAGGUGCGAAAGCGUGGGGAGCAAACAGGAUUAGAUACCCCAGUAGUCC